UCCGUAGGGGGCAAGCGUUGUCCGGAAUCAUUGGGCGUAAAGAGCGUGUAGGCGGCCCGGUAAGUCCGCUGUGAAAGUCCAGGGCUCAACCCUGGGAUGCCGGUGGAUACUGUCGGGCUCGAGUCCGGAAGAGGAGUGUGGAAUUCCUGGUGUAGCGGUGAAAUGCGCAGAUAUCGGGAGGAACACCCGUAGCGAAGGCGGCACUCUGGGCCGGUACUGACGCUGAGGAGCGAAAGCCAGGGGAGCAAACGGG
Molecule: ribosomal RNA, 253 nt
Filed under: uncultured bacterium
Lineage: Bacteria
Description: partial 16S ribosomal RNA
Rfam family: Bacterial small subunit ribosomal RNA
Source: RNAcentral